This 285-nucleotide ribosomal RNA is filed under the name uncultured bacterium. Its description in RNAcentral is "partial 16S ribosomal RNA". It matches the Rfam family "Bacterial small subunit ribosomal RNA", at positions 334 to 611 of the family's 1533-position model. The record is from RNAcentral.
AGGCCCUACUGGGGGCGGCAGUAGGGAAUCUUCCACAAUGGACGAAAGUCUGAUGGAGCAACGCCGCGUGAGUGAAGAAGGGCUUCGGCUCGUAAAGCUCUGUUAGUAGUGAAGAAAGAUAGAGGUAGUAACUGGCCUUUAUUUGACGGUAAUUACUUAGAAAGUCACGGCUAACUACGUGCCAGCAGCCGCGGUAAUACGUAGGUGGCAAGCGUUGUCCGGAUUUAUUGGGCGUAAAGCGAGUGCAGGCGGUUCCAUAAGGCUGAUGUGAAAGCCUUCGGCUCA